GCCCGAGAUGCUAUCGUCGCCCGUGCCGCCGAAGAUGAAAUCCUCGCCGUCGUCGCCGAACAAAGAGUCGUUCGCCCCCAGGAUGGGAUCGACGCUUUCGACGCGAGAAAUGUGGCUGUCUGUGGCGCGGUGUACGCUCGCUCCGUCGCCGAAUGCGACAUCGUCGCCGGCGCCUCCGUGCACUUCGUCCGAACCGUAGGCGCCGGCCGCGCCUUCGCCGGCGUCCGCAUCUGGACAAUCGGGCAGGGGCGGGAGAACCCAACCAAGAUCGCCGGAUACGAUAUCGCCGACGAGCACGUCGUCGUCCUCCUCUCCGAAGAUCACGUCCCCGUCUGCGCCGCCCGACACAAGAUCGUCACCGAAGCCGCCAUGCAGCGUGUCCGCAUCGUUACCGCCGAG
RNAcentral lists this unclassified non-coding RNA (399 nucleotides) under uncultured bacterium. RNAcentral's name for it is "contains 16S-23S intergenic spacer region". The record is from RNAcentral.